RNAcentral lists this unclassified non-coding RNA (212 nucleotides) under Hevea brasiliensis (rubber tree). The record is from RNAcentral. Lineage: Eukaryota; Viridiplantae; Streptophyta; Magnoliopsida; Malpighiales; Euphorbiaceae.
AAAAAAAAAAAAGAAAAAAGAAAGCAGAAGAAGAGGGAGAGGGAAAAGAAUGGCUGAUGGAAUAAAAAAAUAUCUAAGGAAAGGUUUUAUAUGCAUUUUUCACUGUAAAAAAUGAAGUGAAAUAUUAAGGUUGCGUUUGGCAUUUUUGUCAUUUUUUGUUUCUGGUAAAACGUGUUUGUCCAAAUUGUUUUCAUUUAUUUUUGUGAUCACUU